Molecule: non-coding RNA, 797 nt
Organism: Chrysemys picta bellii (western painted turtle)
Lineage: Eukaryota; Metazoa; Chordata; Testudines; Emydidae
Source: RefSeq, a predicted model, not a curated record
AUUCUGAUUUUCUUUCCCGGUCUCAAAUUUGACUUUUUGAUGUUGGAAGUCCUGCAUGUUCCCUGAUACAGAAAUAACAGGUCAUGGUUAAGAAAAAUAGCAUGGCUUAAGAUCAGGCUUUGGAGCUGAAAAAUGCAAAGGUCUGACAAUCUUACAGAACAUUUCUUCCUGCCACCCUCAGCAGUGAAGCUACUCAAUAGAAGGGGAUAAAGUAAAAAUCUAGAGAGAAAAGAUGGAGCCAUAAGGGAGCUCCUGUCACCCCAUCCAGUGCAUCUGCAUUGCCUGUAGCAAAAAUAAUUUCUGUUUUGAAUUCCUUUCAGUGUUACAUUUUUUCUGGAGAAUGGGCCAGAUUUUAUUCUGUUCCAUCCAUGUGACUCCAGAGAACAACUGUGACUUUGACAAAGGUUCUGCCAUUUUAACACCCCAUGCCGCUACCCCAACAUGUUGAGUGCCUUUGAAAAUGUGGCAACAAUUGUCACAAUGACAGAUUCUGGGUGUUUGAGCUCUAUUGAAAUCUGGCUCUUCUUUAGGUGCCUAGAUGAGAGUUGGAAAUCUUGUCCCAGUUGUGCGUGCCACUUGAAACUCCCGCUCUGAGAUCUUUUGAAAAUCCAGCCCUAAGACCCAGGAGAAGGAAAACAAGACCCGUACUUUGAAGACAUUCCUUCGAGCUCAGACCCAAAGAGACCUGGAUAUUUUGGAAGAAGGAAUUUCAGCUUCUCAGAUUAGAAGCAGAUAACCCAAGAUGACCAAGAGCAGCCAAGAUUCAGGCACAAGGAGGUGAUGUUGACAUUGGUGGC